AACCUGGUUGAUCCUGCCAGUAGUCAUAUGCUUGUCUCAAAGAUUAAGCCAUGCAUGUGUAAGUAUAAGUAUUAUACGGCGAAACUGCGAAUGGCUCAUUACAUCAGUUAUAAUUUAUUUGAUAAUCGAAAGUUACAUGGAUAACCGUGACAAAUUACAGCUAAUACAUGCAGUCAGACCUGGUCCAAGGGUCGUAAUUAUUAGUACCAAGCCACUUCCGCAAGGAGUGUGAUGAUUCAUAGUAAUCGAACGAAUCGCAGAUCAUUGCGAUAAGUCAUUCAAGUUUCUGCCCUAUCAGCUUUGGAUGGUAGUGUAUUGGACUACCAUGGCAGUCACGGGUAACGGAGAAUUAGGGUUCGAUUCCGGAGAGGGAGCCUGAGAAACGGCUACCACAUCUACGGAAGGCAGCAGGCGCGAAAAUUGCCCAAUCCCGACUCGGGGAGGCAGUGACAAGAAAUAACAACUCUAGGUUUUCUUAGAAGUGUAAUGAGGAUAAUUUACAAACCUUACCAAAUGCAAUUGGAGGGCAAGUCUGGUGCCAGCAGCCGCGGUAAUUCCAGCUCCAAUAGCGUAUAUUAAAGUUGUUGCAGUUAAAAAGCUCGUAGUUGAAGUUCUGAUUGGCUCAGGUCCUCAGUCUUUAGACGGGGAUUCUGACAGUCAUCCGCUUGCAAGCAUAUGUUCGACCUUCAAAAGUCGGCUAUGUGAGUAAGCAAUUUACCUUGAGAAAAACAGAGUGUUCCAGGCAGGUUUGUCCGGGAUGCAUUAGCAUGGAAUAAUAGAACAUGACUGAAGUCUAUUUAUUGGUUUAAGGCUUUAGUAAUGAUUAAUAGGAACAGUCGGGGGCAUUCGUACUCAGCAGUCAGAGGUGAAAUUCUAAGAUUUGCUGAAGACGAACUAAUGCGAAAGCAUUUGCCAAGGAUGUUUUCAUUAAUCAAGAACGAAAGUUAGGGGAUCAAAGACGAUCAGAUACCGUCCUAGUCUUAACUAUAAACGAUACCGACUCGGAUUCAGAUGAAUCAUAAUGUUCAUUUGGGACCGUAGGAGAAAUCAAAGUCUUUGGGUUCUGGGGGGAGUAUGGUCGCAAGGCUGAAACUUAAAGGAAUUGACGGUUUUGCACCACCAUGGAGUGGAGUCUGCGGCUUAAUUUGACCCAACACUGGGAAACUCAUCAGGGCAAGAAGAUUUUAGGAUUGACAGAUUGAGAGUUCUUUCUUGAUUGGUCUAGUGGUGGUGCAUGGCCGUUCUUAGUUGGUGGAGUGAUUUGUCUGGUUAAUUCCGUUAACGAACGAGACCUUAACCUGCUAACUAGUACUCUGAUCCUUAAUCGGAGGUACUUCUUAGAGGGACUAUGUGUGGUAAGCACAUGGAAGUUUGAGGCAAUAACAGGUCUGUGAUGCCCUUAGAUGUCCUGAGCUGCACGCGUACUACAAUGGCACUUUCAACGAGUUUUUCCUGAUCCGAAAGGAUUUGGGUAAUCUUUUCAGGGAGUGCCGUGUUUGGGAUAGUUCUUUGUAAUUGUGGAACUUGAACUAGGAAUUCCUAGUAAGCGCUUGUCAACAUCAAGUGCUGAUUACGUCCCUGCAAAAUGUACACACCGCCCGUCGCUUUUACCGAUUGAAUGGUCCGGUGAAGCCUCGGGACUGUGGCAUGCUCCCUUCAUUGGGAUUGUGACGCAAGAACUUGUCUAAACCUUAUCAUUUAGAGGAAGGUGAAGUCGUAACAAGGUUUCCGUAGGUGAACCUGCAGAAGGAUCA
RNAcentral lists this ribosomal RNA (1754 nucleotides) under uncultured eukaryote. RNAcentral describes it as "partial small subunit ribosomal RNA". It matches the Rfam family "Eukaryotic small subunit ribosomal RNA". The record is from RNAcentral.